GACCUGGUGAUGCAGUGGUUCGCAUGCGCUCCCGUAAAGAGUGAGACGCGGGUUCAACUCUCGGCCGAGCGUGUCA
Molecule: non-coding RNA, 76 nt
Organism: Parelaphostrongylus tenuis
Lineage: Eukaryota; Metazoa; Nematoda; Chromadorea; Rhabditida; Metastrongylidae
Source: the annotation of a GenBank genome assembly